AUUCGUGCGUCAGUCGAGCAACAAGAAAAAAUAAACUAUAAAAAGCAAGUUCUUGCUCGCAGGUGCUGCCAGACAGGGCUCCCCCAACCCCCAGCCUCGAGAGAGAACAGAACCCAGUGCUGAACGACUGCCCUGGGCUUAGAGCGGAAGGAUUCACGGCUGAAAUACAUGGAUUUCUCUUAUUCACAAACAGCAAUCACACAGUGACAGUUUUAAACUGUGUUUUCCCAACUCCAAGCUUUAAAAUACGAAACAGUCCUAUAAGGCAGCAGUGUCUGAUACAAGCAACGUGGUAGGCAGAAUUUAAAAAUUCGCUAAUCGUUUGGCUUGGUAUGCGUCGCGACCUCUUCUGAAAGGUGUCAUUAACGCUUUGUUCUCAUUAUUCCCCCGUUCUGUAUUCUCCUCCCACCUUCCCCCUCGGACUCACAUGUAUUCUGAGAAGCGUCAGUGUUUUAAAUCUAAACAGGACUUUCUAAGCCGCCCAAACGGGAAUCGGGACGAGAGGACCCCGGCAUGGACAUGGUUCCGACUCUCCAGGUGAACGCUGCGUGAGGCCAUCCUCCAACCACUAAGUGCAAGCAUUCUGUGUCCAGCUGCUUGCAAGUGGCUUCUUAAAUUAAAUAUGAACAUGUUUGCUGGAGCCAUUGUAAUCAGUGUAAGGCUGUUCUGGUCAAACUUGCCUCAAGACUAAAUGAAAACAGACUGUGUUGACAAGAUGAAGUCAUCCUUAAGUGCGAAGUGUAAACCACGGAAGUCCAAAGGAGGCGAAGGAUUUAUGAUAAUCCUUGGAGGACAUCAGAGCCUGAUAUUGGCCUGGAGUGCUGUGCCAUUUGCAAGGGUCAGCACACAUUUAGCAUUGUGAGUUUUGCCCACUUUCUUUCUUCCUUCCUUCCUUUUUUUUCUUUCUUUCUUUUUUCUUUCUUUAAGUUUAUUUACAUCCCAAGGGUGCC
Molecule: long non-coding RNA, 950 nt
Organism: Meriones unguiculatus (Mongolian gerbil)
Lineage: Eukaryota; Metazoa; Chordata; Mammalia; Rodentia; Muridae
Exons: 3
Source: RefSeq, a predicted model, not a curated record